RNAcentral lists this non-coding RNA (106 nucleotides) under Chloroflexota bacterium. Its description in RNAcentral is "Chloroflexi bacterium TPP sequence". It matches the Rfam family "TPP riboswitch aptamer (THI element)". Rfam says of the family: Vitamin B(1) in its active form thiamin pyrophosphate (TPP) is an essential coenzyme that is synthesised by coupling of pyrimidine and thiazole moieties in bacteria. The previously detected thiamin-regulatory element, thi box was extended, resulting in a new, highly conserved RNA secondary structure, the THI element, which is widely distributed in eubacteria and also occurs in some archaea. The record is from RNAcentral. Lineage: Bacteria; Bacillati; Chloroflexota.
AAUAACCGCUAGGGGUGCCCAGGGCUGAGAUGUCCCGGUUCCUUCGGGACGACCCUUGGAACCUGAACUCGGUAAUGCGAGCGCAGGGAAGCGGCCGGGAGAUGAG